CGGCGGGCCGGGCUGGGGCGGCUCGGCCGAUCCCGAGCCGUGGGUGGCACCUCGUGGGAGCGCGAUGCUCUGGGCAGGACAGCUCCCUCGUCGGGCUUUUGAUGAUCGCGGAUGGAAGGGAAUUAAUAAAAUAUCUCACUCUGAAGAGUUGCUGGUAAGCCUGGAGAAACUAUGGCAGAAGGGCUCCCACCAGAAACACUGCCUGCCAGAUGUGACCUUCAAUUGUUUUCCUGGAUGAGAUCGAUGCUCUUGCUCCUGUAUGGUCCAGCAAACAAGACCAGGUUCAUAGGUGGGACAUGUCUUGUAUCUGUAUAGAAGGUGCUUGAUCUUUGUGAAAAGAAGACCACGACCUAUUCAACUUGAUGUGACACUUUCAUUGAACCUGAAAAGUAGUAAUUCAGUGCUAGUGAAUUUCAGAUGAUUUUUAAAUGAGAAUUGAAAACAAUUCACUAGGCUUGAAAUCAGCCCAGGGUCUGUGUUAUCUGUAUUUACUGUCUUAAAAUGACUCUUUUGCAAAUCAGUAUCUCAUCAUUAAAACAUUGUCCUUUUUGAGGGAUCAAUGGAAAUGGUUAUGUGGAACUGAAGAAAAUUUACUAAACCAGUGAAUGAAAAUCA
Melospiza melodia melodia is the source of this 615-nucleotide long non-coding RNA. RefSeq lists it as uncharacterized. The record is from RefSeq and is a predicted model, not a curated record. Lineage: Eukaryota; Metazoa; Chordata; Aves; Passeriformes; Passerellidae. The transcript is spliced from 3 exons.